This 548-nucleotide unclassified non-coding RNA is filed under the name Krenakia minarum. Its description in RNAcentral is "Lagenocarpus minarum partial external transcribed spacer". The record is from RNAcentral. Lineage: Eukaryota; Viridiplantae; Streptophyta; Magnoliopsida; Poales; Cyperaceae.
GCGCAUUAGUGCGGCUAACCGUCGUGGAUCCGUCUUUUCAUGUCCCUCCCUUCGGGUUGCGCUCCUCCUGCGGGAGGAUGCCUGCUGUUGGUUGCCUGUGCGGCUCUACCGUCCUGAGGGAACUUAACUACUCGUCUCGAGAUGGGAAGUGCUUUUGCUAGCGCAUCGGGUGUUGUGCUGUCCGAUAAACGGCAGCAGAAGCGGUUGAGGCGGAUCCUCGUGCGGCUGUGGGAUGACCCCACACCGCUGGAGGAUGCCGCCCGCUCUCAUGGAUGCCGUGUGCACUGGGGAUUUGCGGGCCCUGGCCCGCAUUUCGCCCCAAGGAGGUCUCGUUUGCUGGGGCCGAUUCGUGCCGCUGCUCGGCUCUCCAGCGGGUCGUCUCCGGACGUUGCGUUGCGGGAGAGUUGCUAGCGGGGCGUUUUGCGGCGCAUGCGAGUUUUGCCUCUGUUGGCAUAAGCGGCCGCCGCUCCACGUCGUGAGGGCGACCCGCCGUCCGCGGGGGGUUGCCGAAAUGAUGUGUCGGCUCUUGCUUAGGACGUGCUACCUGG